Molecule: long non-coding RNA, 556 nt
Filed under: Vigna radiata
Lineage: Eukaryota; Viridiplantae; Streptophyta; Magnoliopsida; Fabales; Fabaceae
Description: long non-coding RNA (VRAD_LNC014812)
Source: RNAcentral
GGAGUGAGGAAAAAGAAAAAAUUUUGUUUUACGAUUCAAGAGGAGAGAGAAUAGUACAGGGAAAAUAAGAUAUUAGAGAGAAAAUAAGAUAGAAAAGAAAAAGAAAAAGAAAGAACAGAAGAGUACAUCUUUUUUAUAAUUCUUGAGGUAAAAGAAAUAAAAGAAUAAAACAUAUAUUAUUUAUUUCAUAAUUAUAAUUUUUCAGUAUAAGAUUAGUGAAGGACUUUAAGAGUUCUUAAGAGAGACUGGACGUAGUUCAAGUUGAGUGAACAAGUAUAAGAUUUACGUGUGUCAUUGUUUUUUGUAUUCAAAAUGUUUUCCUAACUGUUUUAUUAUUUAUGCACUCGUAUAACCUUGGUUGCAACUGUCUAACAACUGCAUUAAGUUUUUAAGUGUUUAUUUGUUAAAAGGUUUUGAAAACACUACUCAACCCCCCUCCCUUUUCUAGUGCAUUCCCGCUCUUCAAGCUUGUGGCUUAUUCAUUUGAGACUUUAUGUCAUUUUCUUUAAUCAUUUUUCAACAGUAGUAGUUCUCAAUGAUGAACCUUUGUCUAAUG